RNAcentral lists this ribosomal RNA (1527 nucleotides) under Salmonella enterica subsp. enterica. RNAcentral's name for it is "bacterial SSU rRNA". It matches the Rfam family "Bacterial small subunit ribosomal RNA". The record is from RNAcentral. Lineage: Bacteria; Pseudomonadati; Pseudomonadota; Gammaproteobacteria; Enterobacterales; Enterobacteriaceae.
AGAGUUUGAUCAUGGCUCAGAUUGAACGCUGGCGGCAGGCCUAACACAUGCAAGUCGAACGGUAGCACAGAGAGCUUGCUCUCGGGUGACGAGUGGCGGACGGGUGAGUAAUGUCUGGGAAACUGCCUGAUGGAGGGGGAUAACUACUGGAAACGGUGGCUAAUACCGCAUAACGUCGCAAGACCAAAGAGGGGGACCUUCGGGCCUCUUGCCAUCAGAUGUGCCCAGAUGGGAUUAGCUAGUUGGUGAGGUAACGGCUCACCAAGGCGACGAUCCCUAGCUGGUCUGAGAGGAUGACCAGCCACACUGGAACUGAGACACGGUCCAGACUCCUACGGGAGGCAGCAGUGGGGAAUAUUGCACAAUGGGCGCAAGCCUGAUGCAGCCAUGCCGCGUGUAUGAAGAAGGCCUUCGGGUUGUAAAGUACUUUCAGCGGGGAGGAAGGUGUUGUGGUUAAUAACCGCAGCAAUUGACGUUACCCGCAGAAGAAGCACCGGCUAACUCCGUGCCAGCAGCCGCGGUAAUACGGAGGGUGCAAGCGUUAAUCGGAAUUACUGGGCGUAAAGCGCACGCAGGCGGUCUGUCAAGUCGGAUGUGAAAUCCCCGGGCUCAACCUGGGAACUGCAUUCGAAACUGGCAGGCUUGAGUCUUGUAGAGGGGGGUAGAAUUCCAGGUGUAGCGGUGAAAUGCGUAGAGAUCUGGAGGAAUACCGGUGGCGAAGGCGGCCCCCUGGACAAAGACUGACGCUCAGGUGCGAAAGCGUGGGGAGCAAACAGGAUUAGAUACCCUGGUAGUCCACGCCGUAAACGAUGUCUACUUGGAGGUUGUGCCCUUGAGGCGUGGCUUCCGGAGCUAACGCGUUAAGUAGACCGCCUGGGGAGUACGGCCGCAAGGUUAAAACUCAAAUGAAUUGACGGGGGCCCGCACAAGCGGUGGAGCAUGUGGUUUAAUUCGAUGCAACGCGAAGAACCUUACCUGGUCUUGACAUCCACAGAACUUUCCAGAGAUGGAUUGGUGCCUUCGGGAACUGUGAGACAGGUGCUGCAUGGCUGUCGUCAGCUCGUGUUGUGAAAUGUUGGUUAAGUCCCGCAACGAGCGCAACCCUUAUCCUUUGUUGCCAGCGGUCCGGCCGGGAACUCAAAGGAGACUGCCAGUGAUAAACUGGAGGAAGGUGGGGAUGACGUCAAGUCAUCAUGGCCCUUACGACCAGGGCUACACACGUGCUACAAUGGCGCAUACAAAGAGAAGCGACCUCGCGAGAGCAAGCGGACCUCAUAAAGUGCGUCGUAGUCCGGAUUGGAGUCUGCAACUCGACUCCAUGAAGUCGGAAUCGCUAGUAAUCGUGGAUCAGAAUGCCACGGUGAAUACGUUCCCGGGCCUUGUACACACCGCCCGUCACACCAUGGGAGUGGGUUGCAAAAGAAGUAGGUAGCUUAACCUUCGGGAGGGCGCUUACCACUUUGUGAUUCAUGACUGGGGUGAAGUCGUAACAAGGUAACCGUAGGGGAACCUGCGGUUGGAUCACCU